AGAGUUUGAUCCUGGCUCAGGACGAACGCUGGCGGCGUGCCUAACACAUGCAAGUCGAACGGCCCGACCUGACGGAAUCCUUCGGGAUGAAGACAGGAUGCGGGCAGUGGCGGACGGGUGAGUAACGCGUGGAGAACCUGUCUAUCAGUCCGGGAUAACCUGGCGAAAGUCGGGCUAAUACCGGAUGGCCUUUAGAGAUAGCAUUAUCUUUAAAGGAAAGGUCCUACGGGACUGCUGGAAGGAGGCUCCGCGUCGGAUUAGCUAGCUGGUGGGGUAACGGCUCACCAGGGCGACGAUCCGUAGCUGGUCUGAGAGGACGAUCAGCCACACUGGGACUGAGACACGGCCCAGACUCCUACGGGAGGCAGCAGUGGGGAAUCUUCCGCAAUGGGCGAAAGCCUGACGGAGCAACGCCGCGUGAACGAAGAAGGCCUUCGGGUCGUAAAGUUCUGUCUUCAGGGAGGAACCCUCAUGGGAGGGAAUGCCCAUGAGCUGACGGUACCUGGGGAGGAAGCCCUGGCUAACUACGUGCCAGCAGCCGCGGUAAUACGUAGAGGGCGAGCGUUGUCCGGAAUCACUGGGCGUAAAGGGUACGCAGGCGGAAAUACAAGUCAAAUGUGAAAGGUACCGGCUCAACCGGUGAAAUGCAUUUGAAACUGUAUAUCUUGAGUAUAGGAGAGGAGAGCGGAAUUCCUGGUGUAGCGGUGGAAUGCGUAGAUAUCAGGAAGAACACCAGUGGCGAAGGCGGCUCUCUGGCCUACAACUGACGCUCAUGUACGAAAGCUGGGGGAGCGAACGGGAUUAGAUACCCCGGUAGUCCCAGCCGUAAACGAUGGACACCAGGUGUUGGGGGUUCGAAUCCUUCAGUGCCGCAGUUAACGCAAUAAGUGUCCCGCCUGGGGAGUACGGUCGCAAGACUGAAACUCAAAGGAAUUGACGGGGGCCCGCACAAGCGGUGGAGCAUGUGGUUUAAUUCGAUGCAACGCGAAGAACCUUACCGAGACUUGACAUCCCGUGACCAUCUACGAAAGUAGAGUCUAGCUUCGGCUACACGGAGACAGGUGGUGCAUGGUUGUCGUCAGCUCGUGUCGUGAGAUGUUGGGUUAAGUCCCGCAACGAGCGCAACCC
This 1128-nucleotide ribosomal RNA is filed under the name uncultured bacterium. RNAcentral's name for it is "bacterial SSU rRNA". It matches the Rfam family "Bacterial small subunit ribosomal RNA", at positions 8 to 1104 of the family's 1533-position model. The record is from RNAcentral.